CCUACGGGGGGCAGCAGUAGGGAAUCUUCCACAAUGGGCGAAAGCCUGAUGGAGCAACGCCGCGUGGGUGAAGAAGGUCUUCGGAUCGUAAAACCCUGUUGUUAGAGAAGAAAGUGCGUGAGAGUAACUGUUCACGUUUCGACGGUAUCUAACCAGAAAGCGCCGGCUAACUACGUGCCAGCAGCCGCGGUAAUACGUAGGUGGCAAGCGUUAUCCGGAUUUAUUGGGCGUAAAGGGAACGCAGGCGGUCUGUUAAGUCUGAUGUGAAAGCCUUCGGCUUAACCGGAGUAGUGCAUUGGAAACUGGGAAGCUGGAGUGCAGAAGAGGAGAAUGGAACUCCAGGUGUAGCGGUGAAAUGCGUAGAUAUAUGGAAGAACACCAGUGGCGAAAGCGGCUCUCUGGGCUGUAACUGACGCUGAGGUUCGAAAGCGUGGGUAGCAAACAGGAUUAGAUACCCUAGUAGUC
RNAcentral lists this ribosomal RNA (465 nucleotides) under uncultured bacterium. Its description in RNAcentral is "partial 16S ribosomal RNA". It matches the Rfam family "Bacterial small subunit ribosomal RNA", at positions 338 to 795 of the family's 1533-position model. The record is from RNAcentral.